Long non-coding RNA from Stylophora pistillata, 685 nucleotides. RefSeq lists it as uncharacterized. The record is from RefSeq and is a predicted model, not a curated record. Lineage: Eukaryota; Metazoa; Cnidaria; Anthozoa; Scleractinia; Pocilloporidae.
GCCAUUCACAACAGAAGCGACUGCCCCCGUCCGUCACGCAAAGCAAAUUCUGCGAAUUCUUCAGCAAGUCGUGGUUAUUCCGGAGUGCCGUACAGAUCUUUGAAUCGUCGAGAUUAAAAAGAACGCAUUCAAACUGUGGCUGAGUGUCAGUAACAGUGGGAAAAGGGGAGAAGAGUGGUAAGGGGAGACGCACGUUUUAAUUCAGAGGAUUUCAGGUUAUGAGAUGUAUCUUUUUUUUUCUGAGAAAGAAAAUUGAAAUUGGAAAAUGCGUUAUUGUUUUCCAACUUACUUCUCGUACAAUAACCGCAUUACACGUUGCAGUUGGGCGUUCCUUUGUUACUCGAGCCAUUUAAGGGGGCAACACGCCCUGUUUCACCUGAAACGCCAAUUUUGUCGACAACUUUUUCCCGCAUAAUGGUGGUAGCUCAGUCGUCUCUCCAAAAGAUUGAAGAGAAACAAGUCUAGGGGGUAAAUUUUUUUUGUUUCAAAAAAUUUCGAAGCUUUUAGAAUUUGAGGGAAAAAAAGUAAAAAUAUAAGGGUUACUUCUUCACUAAAAUCAUUAACCAAGACCAGGUCAAAUUGGAACUUUGUUUUUACUACAUAAUUUGAUAAAUUAAUGUACCAUUGGAAAAGCUUAAAGAGCAUCCUUGAUUUGAAAAGACAUGACAAAAGUAAAAAAAAAAAA